CGGAUAAUUUAUGUUUUAUUAAUCCCAUCAAUAUGGGUAUCAAAUGAAAGGGCUCAACAAGCAGAAUACAAUAUACUAUAAAAAUUGAAAUCCAAGAUGGCGGCCGCUACAAAAUGGCGGAUAACGUAGGUUUUAUCGAUCCCAUCAAUAUGGGUAUCAAAUGAAAGUGCUCAACAAGUAGAAUACAAUUUACUAUGCAAAAUUUAAAUCUAAGCUGGCCGCCGCUACCAAAUGUCUGAUAACAAUUUUUUAUCAAUCCCACCAAUAUGGGUAUCAAAUAAAAGGGC
This 287-nucleotide unclassified non-coding RNA is filed under the name Melitaea cinxia (Glanville fritillary). RNAcentral describes it as "misc RNA ENSMCXG00005014017.1". Lineage: Eukaryota; Metazoa; Arthropoda; Insecta; Lepidoptera; Nymphalidae. The record is from RNAcentral.